Molecule: small nuclear RNA, 140 nt
Organism: Aotus nancymaae (Ma's night monkey)
Lineage: Eukaryota; Metazoa; Chordata; Mammalia; Primates; Aotidae
Gene: U4
Rfam family: U4 spliceosomal RNA
About the family: U4 small nuclear RNA (U4 snRNA) is a component of the major U2-dependent spliceosome.
Source: Ensembl
AGCUUUGCACAGUGGCAUGAUCGUAGUCAAUGAGGUUUAUCCAGGGCCUGAGUAUUGCUAAUUGAAAACCUUUCCCAAUACUUCACCAUGACGACUAGAAAUAUAGUUGGCAUUGACAAUUUUUUGAGUCUCUGCAAGGC